This is a long non-coding RNA of Trichomycterus rosablanca, 259 nucleotides long. RefSeq lists it as uncharacterized. The transcript is spliced from 3 exons. The record is from RefSeq and is a predicted model, not a curated record. NCBI's taxonomy places the organism in Eukaryota, Metazoa, Chordata, Actinopteri, Siluriformes, Trichomycteridae.
GGUUAACCUGGAUUAUUUUGGGAGUCAGUGGAGGGAUUCUGAUUGUUUUAGUCAUGGAAGCUGUACAUUACAAUCGGAGGAGGAGGAAAAAAGCUUCAGAAGAAAAGAGUGGACCGAGUGAGGAGAAAACACAGGGUGAAGGAAAGACACACGGGGCGCAUCCAAAACGAGACCCUCAGACUGACCAGCCUGAUGAGGAGGUGAUAAACCAGAAUGAAGUGACGUACGCAAGUGUGCGCAUCAAAAACAAGAAAGCAAA